GUCCACGUGGGGAGGGCCGACCCCCUUUCUGCAGCCUCGCCCUAGCGUCCGUGUAGCGUCUCGCCGCUCGGGUUAGUUACUGGUGGAGGCCGUAGGGGACCCUAGAUGUGCCGCCAGAGGUCGUCGGGCCGACUUAUAGGGGCGGCGACCAAGGACAACAGAGCGCCUCUGCCAACCAGACUAUAAGAAGAGAGAGAUGGGAGAUUAGGGUGGGUCCUGGCCACCUCACCAGGGGAGAGAGCAUCAGUGGAGUACGGCCCUUAGAGACCUGGACUUGUCUUGGUCCUGAUAAUCUUCAUCCUCCCAUAGGGGAGAAGAGAGCCUGAGAGACUUGCAGUCAAGGAAAUGUUUCUGAGGUCAUUGUUCAAUGAGCAUGAAGUAAGCAUCCCGGAAAUAGUCUGCUUGGAGGGGACGAACUGCAGUGGAAUGGGAACAUUGUGGAACAAGACCAGGUUCAAAGGCAAUUUCAGAGGCUGUCCAUUAGGAUUUGGAUGGAGCAGGGAAGAGAAGGCAGGAGCCUUUGAACAAAUGGAAACUGCCUCCACUCUACCCACAACUCCCACUUGGUUAUGCUUACACAUGAAUGAGACUAAGAAACUGAGGCCCAGAGAAUGAAGCAACAGUUAAAAGAGCGAAGCACUUAACAAACUUCAAGUCCGUAGGUGCCUUUUCUCCGGCUGUCAGACUGCGGCUUUCCACCUGAGGUCCCAAUGAGCACUUAAAAAAAAGAAAGAAAGAAAAGAGAAAAUAUCAGAGUGCAUCCAACAUACUGGAGCAACCACACUGCAGUCCUCUUGGCCACAGCGGGAAGACAGCAGGCCUACCAAGUGGGAGAAGGAAUCGAACACCAGUGGAACUGCAGGACAUGGCCAGUGAGUCCAGCAGGAGUUGGAGAAUUGACAUGGGACUGGAUUCUCCUUGUGUUGCAUCAAGGGAGGCAAACCAUGAAGUUGGAUGAAGGAGAGUGGAUUGAAUUGGGAGCACUGCUAUGUGGUACAGGAUGUAACACCCUGGCAAGGAGCAGGCAGUGGUAUUAAUGCUCUACUUGGUUGGCUCAUGGAAGCUUAGAAAAAGCAAUGGCUUGCACUAAAUGAAACAGAACUGCCAGCACUGCCAUGGCAAAUAGUGGGUGAAGGGAUCAAAAGACCCAGAGAAGUGGGCAUGCUGGUGUAGACAGGCUACUGAGGACAGAAAACCCACCAGGCGGCUGUGGUCCACAGGAUGACCUGAAGAACAUUCUAUUUUUCCCAAAUGAUAAGGAAUGUGCUAGUGAAUAUGGCCACCAGCAUGGGUAAAAAGUCCAGUGGCUGCUCCUCUCUAGGCCAGGGCUGAUGGGAGAUGCCCGUGCAGAAAGAAGUACGCUUCUAAUUCUGAUGAGGAUGACAGAAUCUCAAAAUAAUAGAGGCCAGUGAUGGCACGCCACUGCCAGCAGCAAGGUGGGUAAGAUUACUAUAAUACAUGACAAGAACAGUUGUAAUUCACAGCAGCCAGAGGAGUCUGUUCCCAUAGAGAAUUAUGGAGAUGGUAUUAGAACAUAGUAUUCCUAGGGGGCAAGAUAUAGCUUAAUUUAUACAACUAAAGGGAAUCAGAUGGAUGAUAAAGGCUCAAGGCAGCCAUCCCAGUAAAAAAUUAUGAUCAGUUGCCCAUCAGACCUCUGACUGAAGGGAGGCUGAGCUGCAUAAGGAAGGAUCCUACAAUGUCAUGGCAAAUGUAUAUGGUAGUGAUGGUCCCUCUCCAAAUGGACCUCUAAAGGGACCUCAGAAGAAAGGAGAAUAACCAGAUAUUUCAAGGCCUGUCGGACACAGGAUGAGUUAACACUGAGAAGCAGAGACCUGAAGUAUCAUCAUUAUGGAGCCCAGCUCAUACAUGGCUGGGCCAGGCCAAGUCAUAGUGGACCCACUGUGCCCAUAGAUCCACCGGAUGCUCAUUUCCCUGAUCCACAAAUAGAUCACUGGAAUGGACAUGUUUCCCAAUCAGAAUAACCCCAUAUGGUCCUCAGCCUGUGGGGAAGAACCACUGUAGGGGGAAAAGUCAAGUGGAAGCCUCUGAAACUGCCUCCCCGACCAAAAUAGUAUGUCAAAAACCAUAUUCCAUCCCAGGGGGGAUUGGCCUAAUAAAUUAGCGUCACCCAUAAAGAUGAAAGAAUGUGCAGGUGGAGGUGCCUAUCAUACCCCCUUUUAAAUCACAUCUGGUUCCUGCACAAACCAGAUAUAUCCUAGCAGAAGGCAAGUAGACAACUGUAAACACAACCAAAGGGUAGCCCCAGUGGUUGGUUAUCACGGCUUUGCCUGAGAGGUAUCCAGAUGUUUCUUGGUUGAGCUUAACAGGCUAUCAGGAAUGCAGUACGCAGUCUGAUCUGGCAAAUGGCUGUUUUGCAUCCUGAUCAGGGGCCAUUUACAAUCUUGCCCCAGGGUAUAACUCUUCCAACCUCUGGUUGUUGUCAAAAAUGCCUUGGGGUGGAAUUAGGACCCCUGAGAGCAAGUCUGGGUUAGGUUAAAAAAAAAAAAUCUUGCAGGGUGAAGAGCAGGAGUAGACCAACUAAAAGUGUUUACAGAGAAUUGCAGUCAUAUGCAACAUAAUGUUGAGCUCACUUUUGGAACACAAGCUCUCGGAAUCUGUACUCAUUUCUGGUACUCCUUUCCUCCCUCAGGAUGGACUGGGGCAAGAGACCUUGGAAGCAAUGAAAGGGGUUACUUCCACAAGCCUCCUAGCCUCUCUCCAAGACCGACUUGGCCCACUUUUUGACCCCGUCCUGCAGAUUUUGCAUUUAUUGUACCUUCCUUCCCAGUCAUUCCAAACAAGAGACUUGCUCUUUCUCACCUAAAACUAAGCAGGGACCUCCAACUUCUUCCACCUGUUGGCCCUUAAACUCCACUCGCUGCAUCACAGGUAUCUUAGGAAUCCUUGACCCUCAGCCUCUAAGGCUCUCAGCCUGUGCCUCCCACAAUUGACCUGUGAGUCCAGCAGACCCCACAGGUGCCUCAGAGCUGCCCAAGUUCCUCUAAAAUAAUUUUUUGUAUGUAUAUAUGUAUUGAUGUAUU
This is a long non-coding RNA of Herpailurus yagouaroundi (jaguarundi), 3041 nucleotides long. RefSeq lists it as uncharacterized. The transcript has 6 exons. The record is from RefSeq and is a predicted model, not a curated record. Lineage: Eukaryota; Metazoa; Chordata; Mammalia; Carnivora; Felidae.